RNAcentral lists this RNase P RNA (377 nucleotides) under Chloroflexota bacterium. RNAcentral describes it as "Chloroflexi bacterium RNase P RNA component class A". It matches the Rfam family "Bacterial RNase P class A". From Rfam's summary of the family: Ribonuclease P (RNase P) is a ubiquitous endoribonuclease, found in archaea, bacteria and eukarya as well as chloroplasts and mitochondria. Lineage: Bacteria; Bacillati; Chloroflexota. The record is from RNAcentral.
CAAGCUGACCGGGUGAUCGCGGUUCGGCGUGCCGAGCUGAGGAAAGUCCGCCCUCCACAGGGUACGGUGCUGGCUAACGGCCAGGCGGGGCAACCCGACGGCAAGUGCAACAGAGAGCAGAUUGCCCCAGGCGGCGCGUGCGGCGUCUGGGGUGAGGGUGAAAGGGUGGUGUAAGAGACCACCAGCGCGGGCAGCGAUGUCGGCGGCUAGGUAAACCCCACCGGGAGCAAGGCCAAGCAGGCGCAUUGGAGUGACCCGCUCCGCAAAAAGCGCCGGGUGUGCUGCUUGACCGCGCGAGUAAUCACGCGGCUAGAGAGAUGAUCACCGGCUGGGCUGCGGCCCAGUCACAGAAGGCGGCUUACAGGUUAGCUUGGACA